RNAcentral lists this ribosomal RNA (453 nucleotides) under uncultured bacterium. Its description in RNAcentral is "bacterial SSU rRNA". It matches the Rfam family "Bacterial small subunit ribosomal RNA", at positions 335 to 783 of the family's 1533-position model. The record is from RNAcentral.
ACUCCUACGGGAGGCAGCAGUGGGGAAUAUUGCACAAUGGGCGCAAGCCUGAUGCAGCCAUGCCGCGUGUGUGAAGAAGGCCUUCGGGUUGUAAAGCACUUUCAGUUGUGAGGAAGGUGGUGUCGUUAAUAGCGGCAUCAUUUGACGUUAGCAACAGAAGAAGCACCGGCUAACUCCGUGCCAGCAGCCGCGGUAAUACGGAGGGUGCGAGCGUUAAUCGGAAUUACUGGGCGUAAAGCGCAUGCAGGUGGUUUGUUAAGUCAGAUGUGAAAGCCCGGGGCUCAACCUCGGAACUGCAUUUGAAACUGGCAGACUAGAGUACUGUAGAGGGGGGUAGAAUUUCAGGUGUAGCGGUGAAAUGCGUAGAGAUCUGAAGGAAUACCGGUGGCAAGGCGGCCCCUGGACAGAUACUGACACUCAGAUGCGAAAGCUGGGGAGCAAACAGGAUUAGAU